This is a non-coding RNA of Schistosoma mattheei, 46 nucleotides long. The record is from Rfam. NCBI's taxonomy places the organism in Eukaryota, Metazoa, Platyhelminthes, Trematoda, Strigeidida, Schistosomatidae.
GUACUGCUGAGGAGUUCCACAAUAGGACGAAACGGCCGUCCAGUGC